AUGUCAUCCUAAUUUAGAUUAGACACUUUUCUUCCUACUCAUCAUCAUCAUCAUCAUAGUCUUUAUCAUCAUUACUUGAAACUUAUCCUCUUUCAUAUUUGUCCAUAAAUAUUUCAGCAUAAAUCUUGGUUUUUUAGUUGAGAUUAGUGAAUGUUGAGAUUCAGUUGAAUGUGAAGAACCAAGUUGCCUGUGUUGCUAAUAAUGAUGUUAAUCAAUUUUCUUUUCGCAACAGUUAAUUUGUUACUUGAUUGUGAACAAAAUCUAAUUUCAUUGAUAAUGUCCAAGAAUCUGUCUGGUUAGGAAAUCACUGAAAUAUCCUUGAUUAUCUGGUAUGGUUUUAGGAUGAGUUACAGUAAUUUUUUCACGCCACAUUGAAUACAACAGACAGCCUUAGUACAUUUUUUCUGUUCUGAUCAAUAAGCUAGAUUAAUUAAUUGUCAAUAAUAAUUGAGACAAGGCUAACAACGAAGAUGAUAAGGUUACACUAUUUUACAUUCAGCUUGAUUAUUCAAAUAAAUCCAAUAGCUUUGAUAAUUUAACCAAAUGGAAACAUUAAUAAUAAAUAUCUGAUUUUAAUUUAACCGCUACAUCAAGAGAUGGCAAUGAAAUUUAUAUGAGGUCAUCAAUGGUUGCCAUGGUUAAUAUUGUUGACUAUUUCAAGUUUAUUGUUACCAUUAUACACAUGAUUAUGGUUAUGAUUAUGAUUGUGAUUAGUGAUUAAAUGUUGCUUUAAUGGAAGCGCAAUUUUAUGUGUUAUUGAUGUUGCUCGUUGAACACGCGUUUCAAUGAAAACCAUGUAAACUUUUUCCACUUAUCUCCACCUUCAGAGUCUCUUUGCUCAUCUUACUUACCAAUGCAUAACAAAGUUACAUUAACCUGGCCCUUUUGGUACGAUCAACUGUUAAUUUCAUCAUCCUGAGUGGAGUCAAAUUGAACAUGGAUCAAGAUUAACCUUCCCUCUGUGUGUGUAUAUGCAUAUUGUACAUGCAUUGUGUACAUCUAAUUCUGGGCUUUGGUCUUGAUGUUCAUUCUGCUAUUUAAUCAUUUGUUGACAUUUACAGUAAAAAUAUUGAAAGUUGAUUGGAGUUGAUCACAUUUUUCUGGCACAAUUGUCUUUUUGCUGCUAUUAUCAAUAUUGUCAACGGAUUUGAUGGUAAACUGUAAAAGUGGUAAAGUUUUUCAUCUAUUGUUUUGUACCAAUGCCAAUGAAUAAAUGAUUGGUCCAAUUGAGUAA
Molecule: long non-coding RNA, 1234 nt
Organism: Tetranychus urticae (two-spotted spider mite)
Lineage: Eukaryota; Metazoa; Arthropoda; Arachnida; Trombidiformes; Tetranychidae
Source: RefSeq, a predicted model, not a curated record